UAUUGGUCAAUAGCCUAACGGCUGAACCAGCAACUUGGAGGAAUGUAUAGGGAAAACUGGUAAAAUGUGAUGUACCUAGUAAUAUUUGUAAAAAAUAUGAGAUUAACUAAGUUAAUUAAAAUUCUAAGUAGAUGUUUGAUUAUGACAAUAUCUAUAUAGGUCUUGACCAAGUCACGUGCCAGCAGUCGCGGUAAUACGUGGAAGACGAGUGUUAUUCAUCUUUAUUGGGUUUAAAGGGUACCUAGACAGUUAAUUAAGCAAUUAUAUGUACUAAUUAGCUAGAGUUUAAUGUAAGAAGGAUUGAGUACGGUGAGAGUAGAGAUAAAAUUCUUUGAUACCACUUAGGAAC
This 349-nucleotide ribosomal RNA is filed under the name Ocellularia salmonea. RNAcentral describes it as "SSU rRNA". It matches the Rfam family "Bacterial small subunit ribosomal RNA", at positions 362 to 708 of the family's 1533-position model. Lineage: Eukaryota; Fungi; Ascomycota; Lecanoromycetes; Ostropales; Graphidaceae. The record is from RNAcentral.